Molecule: long non-coding RNA, 1243 nt
Organism: Daktulosphaira vitifoliae (grape phylloxera)
Lineage: Eukaryota; Metazoa; Arthropoda; Insecta; Hemiptera; Phylloxeridae
Exons: 2
Source: RefSeq, a predicted model, not a curated record
AACCCAGCACAGGGAGGUCGCGGCACAGUUGUGACGUGGUAUAGUUGGAUCAAGUAUAAUGAUAUCUGACAGUGAUUAAAAUCACUAUCAAAAAUAAACGCUUCGAUGCAAAUCUUUAGAUAGUGCUUAAUUUAAAAAAAAUUGGUGUUUUAUUCCAAAAGCUACUUGAUCUGCUGGUUCCUUAUUAAUAUCUCGAUAAAGAUAAAGUAUGUCAAAUGAAAAAGGGUUUAUUAAAAAAUAUUAUUUCUCAUAAAAAAAUUGUGUGGAUCCAUAAACUUUUCAAUAAGUUAUAGCAUUAUAAAGUUAAAUAUUAUAUAAAUAAUAAAAUCGAGAAUUUUCACACGAAAAUAGUAUUCGGUAGCCGUUUUCACCAUGAAGACAAGUCCAGAGGUCAAAUUUUUUUUUUCAAAUUAAAGUACAUUACAUUAGCUUUAAUUUAAGAUAUAUAUAAAAGUGUCAGACCUUCCGGAACAUUUUCAAAAGUUAAGUUGAAAAAGUUCUACUUUCUAUAUGCAUUUUUUAUAUUUGAAGCCCCCCCAUAUAUAGGGAAAUAGUCUGAUUUAAAAAAAAAGUAUAUCCAAUGAAAGAUGUAUAUAAAUACUACUUCUCAUGAAAAAAUUGUAUUGAUCCAUACAUUUUUUAAAAAGUUAUAGCACUUUAAAGUAAAAAAUGUAAAUUAUAAAAUCGAAAAUUUUCACACAAAAAUAGCAUUCGGUAGCCGUUUUCACCAUGAAGACAAGUCCAGAGGUCAAAUUUUUUUUUUUCAAAUUAAAGUACAUUACAUUAGCUUUAAUUUAAGAUAUAUAUAAAAGUGUCAGACCUUCCGGAACAUUUUCAAAAGUUAAGUUGAAAAAGUUAAUUUUUUGUGAAAAAGUUGUCAUUUUAAAUCCCCCCCUGUGGGCAGAUAAAAGGUCAAAUUUACAAAAAAAAUAUAUCAAAUGAUAGGUAAAGACAUCAAGCAUCUAUAUAAAAAAAAAUUAUAUUGAUAUGUUCAUUUUUGAAAAAGUUACGGCAGUUUUUAGUAAAAAAAAUUGAAAAAAUUUCGAAAAUUAGCGAUUUUUAAAUUUGUAAUUUUUUUGGAGGUUUCCCCCAUUUACGGGGAACGAGGGAAAUUUUUUCAAUUUUGAAGGGUAAUGUCUUCGACUAGAUACGAUUUGUGAUCUUUUGACGUAUCGUUGAAAGAAAUCCGUUCGGUGAGAGCUGAGAAAAAGUGGUAACAGACACAAAAAAAAAAAAAAACAAA